This 200-nucleotide microRNA precursor is filed under the name Oryza rufipogon (brownbeard rice). RNAcentral describes it as "MIR812 microRNA precursor family". It matches the Rfam family "MIR812 microRNA precursor family". Lineage: Eukaryota; Viridiplantae; Streptophyta; Magnoliopsida; Poales; Poaceae. The record is from Rfam by way of RNAcentral.
AAUAGAUGACGCUGUUGACUUUUUCUCAUAUGUUUGACCAUUCGUCUUAUUCAAAAAUUUUAUGCAAAUGUAUUUUAUUUUGUUAUGGGUUGUUUUAUCACUCAUAGUACUUUAAGUGUGAUUUAUAUCAUAUACAUUUGCAUAAAAUUUUUGAAUAAGACGAAUGGUCAAACAUAUGAGUUAGAAGUUCCACACUUCCA